RNAcentral lists this ribosomal RNA (253 nucleotides) under uncultured bacterium. RNAcentral's name for it is "partial 16S ribosomal RNA". It matches the Rfam family "Bacterial small subunit ribosomal RNA", at positions 524 to 776 of the family's 1533-position model. The record is from RNAcentral.
UACAGAGGGGGCAAGCGUUGUUCGGAUUCAUUGGGCGUAAAGGGUGCGUAGGCGGCGCGGUAAGUCGGGUGUGAAAUCUCGGAGCUUAACUCCGAAACUGCAUUCGAUACUGCCGUGCUUGAGGACUGGAGAGGAGACUGGAAUUUACGGUGUAGCGGUGAAAUGCGUAGAUAUCGUAAGGAAGACCAGUGGCGAAGGCGGGUCUCUGGACAGUUCCUGACGCUGAGGCACGAAGGUCAGGGGAGCAAACGGG